Molecule: small RNA, 172 nt
Filed under: Chrysemys picta bellii (western painted turtle)
Lineage: Eukaryota; Metazoa; Chordata; Testudines; Emydidae
Description: TUC338 (ENSCPBG00000027387.1)
Source: RNAcentral
GUGAAAGUCCUGGAGACUGAGUGUAUUUACCUACAGAACAGGUACAGCGUGGGGAAUGGGAUUGCAAGGUCCCUACACUGCCCUGCCAAUAUUGCUAUGCUUUACUGUGGACUGGCUCCCUUAAGGGAUUUUGGGGAGCUUAAUUUUCAUGACCUUUGAAAAUCUCACCCUU